AGUGGCGGACGGGUGAGUAACACGUAAGAAUUUGCCUUUAGGAGGGGGACAACAACUGGAAACGGUUGCUAAUACCCCAUAUGCUUUCGAGUGAAAUGGAUUUUUCCGCCUAAAGAGAAGCUUGCGGCUGAUUAGCUUGUUGGUGAGGUAAUGGCUCACCAAGGCGACGAUCAGUAUCUGGUCUGAGAGGAUGAUCAGACACACUGGAACUGAGACACGGUCCAGACUCCUACGGGAGGCAGCAGUGGGGAAUUUUCCGCAAUGGGCGAAAGCCUGACGGAGCAAUCUCGCGUGAGGGAUGACGGCCUAUGGGUUGUAGACCUCUUUUUUCAGGGAGGAACAAAAUGACGUGUACCUGAAGAAUAAGCAUCGGCUAACUCCGUGCCAGCAGCCGCGGUAAGACGGAGGAUGCAAGUGUUAUCCGGAAUCACUGGGCGUAAAGCGUCUGUAGGUGGUUUAAUAAGUCAACUGUUAAAUCUUGAAGCUCAACUUCAAAAUCGCAGUCGAAACUAUUAGACUAGAGUAUAGUAGGGGUAAAGGGAAUUUCCAGUGGAGCGGCGAAAUGCGUAGAUAUUGGAAAGAACACCGAUGGCGAAGGCACUUUACUGGGCUAUUACUGACACUCAGAGACGAAAGCUAGGGUAGCAAAUGGGAUUAGAUACCCCAGUAGUCCUAGCCGUAAACAAUGGAUACUAGAUGU
Molecule: ribosomal RNA, 700 nt
Filed under: uncultured bacterium
Lineage: Bacteria
Description: bacterial SSU rRNA
Rfam family: Bacterial small subunit ribosomal RNA
Source: RNAcentral